Molecule: ribosomal RNA, 775 nt
Filed under: uncultured Neocallimastigales
Lineage: Eukaryota; Fungi; Neocallimastigomycota; Neocallimastigomycetes; Neocallimastigales
Description: partial large subunit ribosomal RNA
Rfam family: Eukaryotic large subunit ribosomal RNA
Source: RNAcentral
AGAGAGAGACAUGCGCGCAUAUCAAUAAGCGGAGGAAAAGAAACUAACAAGGAUUCCCCUAGUAACGGCGAGUGAAGCGGGAAGAGCUCAAAUUUGAAAUCUUAAAGGGUUUCCCUUUACGAAUUGUAGUUUAAAGAAGUGUUUUCUGUUGAGGUUUUGGUAAAAGUUCUUUGGAAUAGGACAUCAUAGAGGGUGAGAAUCCCGUAUUUGACCUUUACUUUCAACUUUGUGAUACACUUUCAAAGAGUCGGAUUGUUUGGGAAUGCAGUCCAAAAUGGGUGGUAAAUUUCAUCUAAAGCUAAAUAUUGGCGAGAGACCGAUAGCGAACAAGUACCGUGAGGGAAAGAUGAAAAGAACUUUGAAAAGAGAGUUAAACAGUACGUGAAAUUGUCAAAAGGGAAGCGUUUGACACCAGUGUUGUUUUUCUGAAAAUCAAUUAAAGAACUGUUUAUGCUAAGCUGUUUAGACUUUAUCAGCUAACUGUUUAGUUUUGAGCUUUUCUUUAAUGCACUUUUCAGUUAACAAGUCAACAUCAAUUUCUUUUGCUGUAAAAAAGCUAUGAGGAAGGUGGCUUGAGAUUCGUCUUAAGUGUUUAUAGCCUCUUGCCUAUGCAGUCGGAGAGAUUGAGGUCUGCAGCGUAGAUCCUUCGGGGCUAAAUGCAUUUGUGCUAAGUUAUAGCAUUUUAUAGACAACUUGUUGACUAUGAUUUGUCUUGUAGCUUACUCGCUUAUGUUAUUUUACCUACGCUUAGGAUGUUGAGCGCAUGUCUCUCUCU